RNAcentral lists this ribosomal RNA (253 nucleotides) under uncultured bacterium. Its description in RNAcentral is "partial 16S ribosomal RNA". It matches the Rfam family "Bacterial small subunit ribosomal RNA", at positions 524 to 776 of the family's 1533-position model. The record is from RNAcentral.
UACGUAGGGCGCAAGCGUUAUCCGGAAUUACUGGGCGUAAAGAGCUCGUAGGUGGUUUGUCGCGUUGUCCGUGAAAACUCACAGCUUAACUGUGGGCGUGCGGGCGAUACGGGCAGACUGGAGUACUGCAGGGGAGACUGGAAUUCCUGGUGUAGCGGUGGAAUGCGCAGAUAUCGGGAAGAACACCCGUGGCUAAGGCGGCUCUCUAGUACGGUACUGACGCUGAGACGCGAAAGCGUGGGGAGCGAACAGG